UUCCGGUUGAUCCUGCCGGAGGUCACUGCUAUCGGGGUUCGAUUAAGCCAUGCGAGUCGAGAGGGUUCGGCCCUCGGCGUACUGCUCAGUAACACGUGGAUAACCUGCCCUAGGGGAGGGGAUAACCCCGGGAAACUGGGGAUAAUACCCUAUAGGUUACAGAUGCUGGACUGCCCUGUAACCAAAAGCUCCGGCGCCCUAGGAUGGAUCUGCGGCCGAUUAGGUUGUUGUUGGGGUAACGGCCCAACAAGCCCGUAAUCGGUACGGGUUGUGGGAGCAAGAGCCCGGAGUUGGAUUCUGAGACACGAAUCCAGGCCCUACGGGGCGCAGCAGGCGCGAAACCUUUACAAUGCGGGCAACCGUGAUAAGGGAACCUCGAGUGCCUGUAAACGCAGGCUGUUCAGGUGUUUAAAACGCACCUGGAGAAAGGGCCGGGCAAGACCGGUGCCAGCCGCCGCGGUAAUACCGGCGGCUCGAGUGGUGGCCGCUUUUAUUGGGAUUAAAGCGUUCGUAGCUGGGUUGUUAAGUCUCUUGGGAAAUCUGGCGGCUUAACCGUCAGGCGUCUAAGGGAUACUGGCAAUCUUGGAACCGGGAGAGGUGAGGGGUACUUCGGGGGUAGGGGUGAAAUCCUGUAAUCCUCGAGGGACCACCUGUGGCGAAGGCGCCUCACCAGAACGGCUUCGACAGUGAGGGACGAAAGCUGGGGGAGCAAACCGGAUUAGAUACCCGGGUAGUCCCAGCCGUAAACGAUGCGCGUUAGGUGUAUCGGUGACCACGAGUUACCGAGGUGCCGAAGGGAAACCGUGAAACGCGCCGCCUGGGAAGUACGGUCGCAAGGCUGAACUUAAAGGAAUUGGCGGUGGAGCACCACAACGGGUGGAGCCUGCGGUUUAAUUGGAUUCAACGCCGGGAAUCACUAGUGCGGCCGCCUGCAGGUCGACCAUAUGGGA
Molecule: ribosomal RNA, 950 nt
Filed under: uncultured archaeon
Lineage: Archaea
Description: bacterial SSU rRNA
Rfam family: Archaeal small subunit ribosomal RNA
Source: RNAcentral